RNAcentral lists this ribosomal RNA (379 nucleotides) under uncultured eukaryote. RNAcentral describes it as "partial 18S ribosomal RNA". It matches the Rfam family "Eukaryotic small subunit ribosomal RNA", at positions 592 to 976 of the family's 1831-position model. The record is from RNAcentral.
CAAUAGCGCAUAUUAAAGUUGUUGCGGUAAAAAAGCUCGUAGUUGGAUUUCUGUUGAGAGCGACCGGUCCAUACCAUGUAUGCGUAUCUGGCUUGCUCUCGGCAUCCUCUCGAUAGACGUUACUGCGCUUGAUUGCGUGGUGCGGAUCUCGGGACUUUUACUUUGAGGAAAUUAGAGUGUUCACGGCAGGCUUUCGCCAGAAUACAUUAGCAUGGAAUAAUACUAUAGGAUCUUGGUUCUAUUUUGUUGGUUUCUAGAAUUGAGAUAAUGAUUAAUAGGGACAAUUGGGGGCAUUCGUAUCAACACGUCAGAGGUGGAAUUCUUGGAUUGUGUUGCGACGAACUACUGCGAAAGCAUUUGCCAAGGAUGUUUUCAUUGA